GACGAACGCUGGCGGCGUGCUUAACACAUGCAAGUCGAACGGAAAGGCCCUGCUUUUGUGGGGUGCUCGAGUGGCGAACGGGUGAGUAACACGUGAGUAACCUGCCCUUGACUUUGGGAUAACUUCAGGAAACUGGGGCUAAUACCGGAUAGGAGCUCCUACUGCAUGGUGGGGGUUGGAAAGUUUCGGCGGUUGGGGAUGGUCUCGCGGCUUAUCAGCUUGUUGGUGGGGUAGUGGCUUACCAAGGCUUUGACGGGUAGCCGGCCUGAGAGGGUGACCGGCCACAUUGGGACUGAGAUACGGCCCAGACUCCUACGGGAGGCAGCAGUGGGGAAUAUUGCACAAUGGGCGGAAGCCUGAUGCAGCAACGCCGCGUGCGGGAUGACGGCCUUCGGGUUGUAAACCGCUUUCGCCUGUGACGAAGCGUGAGUGACGGUAAUGGGUAAAGAAGCACCGGCUAACUACGUGCCAGCAGCCGCGGUGAUACGUAGGGUGCGAGCGUUGUCCGGAUUUAUUGGGCGUAAAGGGCUCGUAGGUGGUUGAUCGCGUCGGAAGUGUAAUCUUGGGGCUUAACCCUGAGCGUGCUUUCGAUACGGGUUGACUUGAGGAAGGUAGGGGAGAAUGGAAUUCCUGGUGGAGCGGUGGAAUGCGCAGAUAUCAGGAGGAACACCAGUGGCGAAGGCGGUUCUCUGGGCCUUUCCUGACGCUGAGGAGCGAAAGCGUGGGGAGCGAACAGGCUUAGAUACCCUGGUAGUCCACGCUGUAAACGGUGGGUACUAGGUGUGGGGUCCAUUCCACGGGUUCCGUGCCGUAGCUAACGCUUUAAGUACCCCGCCUGGGGAGUACGGCCGCAAGGCUAAAACUCAAAGGAAUUGACGGGGCCCCGCACAAGCGGCGGAGCAUGCGGAUUAAUUCGAUGCAACGCGUAGAACCUUACCUGGGUUUGACAUGGAUCGGGAGUGCCCAGAGAUGGGUGUGCCUCUUUUGGGGUCGGUUCACAGGUGGUGCAUGGCUGUCGUCAGCUCGUGUCGUGAGAUGUUGGGUUAAGUCCCGCAACGAGCGCAACCCUUGUUCACUGUUGCCAGCACGUUAUGGUGGGGACUCAGUGGAGACCGCCGGGGUCAACUCGGAGGAAGGUGGGGAUGACGCCAAGUCAUCAUGCCCCUUAUGUCCAGGGCUUCACGCAUGCUACAAUGGCUGGUACAGAGAGUGGCGAGCCUGUGAGGGUGAGCGAAUCUCGGAAAGCCGGUCUCAGUUCGGAUUGGGGUCUGCAACUCGACCUCAUGAAGUCGGAGUCGCUAGUAAUCGCAGAUCAGCAACGCUGCGGUGAAUACGUUCCCGGGGCU
RNAcentral lists this ribosomal RNA (1346 nucleotides) under uncultured bacterium. RNAcentral's name for it is "bacterial SSU rRNA". It matches the Rfam family "Bacterial small subunit ribosomal RNA", at positions 28 to 1381 of the family's 1533-position model. The record is from RNAcentral.